This 253-nucleotide ribosomal RNA is filed under the name uncultured bacterium. Its description in RNAcentral is "partial 16S ribosomal RNA". It matches the Rfam family "Bacterial small subunit ribosomal RNA", at positions 524 to 776 of the family's 1533-position model. The record is from RNAcentral.
UACGUAGGGUGCGAGCGUUGUCCGGAAUUAUUGGGCGUAAAGAGCUCGUAGGCGGUUUGUCGCGUCUGCCGUGAAAACUUGGGGCUUAACUCCAAGCUUGCGGUCGAUACGGGCAGACUUGAGUUCGGCAGGGGAGACUGGAAUUCCUGGUGUAGCGGUGAAAUGCGCAGAUAUCAGGAGGAACACCGGUGGCGAAGGCGGGUCUCUGGGCCGAUACUGACGCUGAGGAGCGAAAGCGUGGGGAGCGAACAGG